AAAGAACGGAGAGGACAGAAGCAGAAUAAGAUGCACCCAAAUGGCUUCCCCCCCCAGAAAAAUCCUGACCGGUAACCCAUCACCCAGGUUCUACCUCAACAGGACCAAACACUGCAAAGGGACGAAAACCAGAGUGUGGAAAUGUAUUUCAUGAUGAGAAGAGGAUGAUGCAAGAGAUUCACUAAUGCAAGGCCUUAACGCAAAGGGCCUGGGCCACGCAGGGACCCAUGACCACACAGUCCACCAGCCCAAACAUUCCUGCCUUCUUGAGUACAGGCAAGCUGGUGGCUUUAUGAGCCCAGGACUUACCUUGACGCCAUCGUUCUUCUUGUUGCCACCACUUUUCCCUCC
Molecule: long non-coding RNA, 351 nt
Organism: Podarcis raffonei (Aeolian wall lizard)
Lineage: Eukaryota; Metazoa; Chordata; Lepidosauria; Squamata; Lacertidae
Exons: 2
Source: RefSeq, a predicted model, not a curated record